AGCCACCCAGGUGCCCCAAAAUCUUUAAGAGUAUAAAUGGGAUCUUGAGACAAAAAGUUUGAAAACUGUUCAUUUAGUAAAAAAUUAACAUACAGAUUUCAGAGUCAUGACUCAUACAAUUUCUAGAUAUAUAAUUUUAGGAAAUUAUCUAACUACUGUUAGCUUUAUUCUUCUUACCUGCAAAAUAGGAAUAAUAUUUGUCUCACAGGGUAUUGGGGUAAGAUAAGGUUUAUGAAGUAUAUAUAGUACAGUACUGGGCACAUACAAUAGAUGCCCUGUAAAUCUAGCCUUUUGGUUGAUAAUUUGCAUACUUUAGCACUGCAGUGGUCUUAAUGUUACUGGAAUAUUUUUUAUUCAUUUGACAGGACAGAAUUCAGUUUAUUUACCAAGUUAGAACCACAGCAUCUGAUUUCAGAUUUAAAAACUACAUUGUGGAAAAUUGGCAGAAGGUUAUUUUAAGUUUUAGUAUCUUUUAUGUAACAAAUUAGCUUAAGCAGCAGGUUGAGGUCUUAGAAAACUGAAGGGAUAGUCGAUGAAGCUUAACUAGGACAUUUGAGCACUUAGUUUCAUGGCAUACUUGGCCAAUAAAGCAAAUCCAGUGUUGGCUAGAGAAGGAGUAUGAUGAAAAAAUGAUGAUGAUUUGCUUUUAAAAUAUUGAAGUCAAAGCAUGAUGUUUGUUAUCUUUAAUUAGAAUAUAUUAUUUCUGAUUAUGUACUUAAUCUAUAAAAUGAGAGGGAUUGGAUAGUUGAAUGCAAAGUCAUUUCUAGUUCAUAAAUCUUCUAAAAAUGUGAUUAAUUUAAACUUGUUACAGUAAUUUUAAUUUGUAAGCAUCAGUAGGUACUGAUGCUUUUGCCCUUUCACCUUUGUUUUCCUUGAAAGCUUAAGAAAAUGGAGUAAUAAUGUAGGUGCAUAAAGGCCUGCUUUCUUUACCUAGGUGCUCUGUCUAGACUCUGGUAAGUUCUCCUUAAUUUGUGUAGUUUUUUGAAUAGUUAUUACAUUCACAUGCUACAAAAUUAUAAAAAGAUGUAAAAGAUACACUGUAAAAAUAGUUUGCCUCCCACUCAUCUUAACCCACUCAGUUACCCUUCUUAACAGCAACUGGUGUUAUCAGUGCCUUGUUUUCUUCUUGUCACCAUUUAGAACAUGGUCUUUUUUUUUUUUCUCCUGGAAGAUAGAGAAGUGAAGAAA
Molecule: long non-coding RNA, 1188 nt
Organism: Herpailurus yagouaroundi (jaguarundi)
Lineage: Eukaryota; Metazoa; Chordata; Mammalia; Carnivora; Felidae
Exons: 2
Source: RefSeq, a predicted model, not a curated record